GGGGGCGUAGCUCAGCUUGGGAGAGCGCCGGCUUUGCAAGCCGGAGGUCGGCGGUUCGAUCCCGCUCGCCUCCACCA
This 77-nucleotide transfer RNA is filed under the name Candidatus Acetothermia bacterium. RNAcentral describes it as "tRNA-Ala". It matches the Rfam family "tRNA". From Rfam's summary of the family: Transfer RNA (tRNA) molecules are approximately 80 nucleotides in length. Their secondary structure includes four short double-helical elements and three loops (D, anti-codon, and T loops). Further hydrogen bonds mediate the characteristic L-shaped molecular structure. tRNAs have two regions of fundamental functional importance: the anti-codon, which is responsible for specific mRNA codon recognition, and the 3' end, to which the tRNAs corresponding amino acid is attached (by aminoacyl-tRNA synthetases). tRNAs cope with the degeneracy of the genetic code in two manners: having more than one tRNA (with a specific anti-codon) for a particular amino acid; and 'wobble' base-pairing, i.e. permitting non-standard base-pairing at the 3rd anti-codon position. RNAcentral also lists the same sequence under 1 other name. Lineage: Bacteria; Candidatus Bipolaricaulota. The record is from RNAcentral.